GUGUCCAUUGCUAGUCCAAUUUAGGAUUGAGUGUUUGAUUCUUCACUUAUUAUAGUUAUUGAUUUCAUUGGUGACUUUAGUAUAUGUACUUGCGUUAUGGUAUGAAUUGGCUCUCACCUUUGCCUGGUUGUUCGUCCUUGGAUAUACUCCUUAUAAAUCUGAUGUCCAUGGAUAGUUCAACUUUGGAUUUACUGCCAAUUCGACACUUAUUUGUCAUUAUAAAUUAUGUCUCAUCUUUAGCACUUUUACUAGGACUUCGGGUCAUAUUUUGCAAUUUCCGUUAUUUGCUGCAGUGACCAUCCUACUUUCCCUUGAUUAUUAGUGGUGAUUAUUUGUAAUCUUGCGAAUCAACGGGGAAUGAUACACUAAGCACUACUACUCUAGUUUAAUAUUUUGAAAAAAAAAAAAAAAAAAAUUUUUUUUAAAUAAAAUUUUUUUUCUGGUGGUUGAAAGGGAAUGUGACGUUCCGCCCCUUAUAGAAUCGAUUAUUGAUGGGAAGAUAUUAUUUAACUAUCCAAAAUAUUAUUUAAUUAUUUUCAGAAUUAUUUUCUUUCAAUGUUUAUUCAAAUAGAACUUAAACCCAUCUCAGAAUUUUUAAAUGCUUGAUGACGUCACAUUUAAAACGUGGCAACAUUGGUUUCCCCACUUUGACAGCCAAUGCUUAGUAGAGGGGUACGAAGGAUUCAGCUGUGAACGUGAGCCUUGGAUUGCGAUUGUUUCUCGAGUGUUCGGUCUGAAUCGUAGUGUGCGGGGUCAUUAGACUCAAUUAUUCACCUCUAAUUCUCAGUUCCAAAUUGAUUAAAUAUUACAAUAAAAGUAUAGUGAAGUUAUCCAGCAGCAGUGGAUUUGAAGAAUUUUAGAGCAUACUAUAUCCAAUGAGUUCUACCCCGCACCUACCAUGAAAUCUUAAAGCCACCCUACAACAACACCAAGGCCAGACCACACAGAGAGAAACAAUCAAUAGGCGACCAGCCUGGAUUAUUUCCACAUUUUCUUUUUUUGAGUACCUCCAGCUGCUUUCCAACAGUUUUGAGUACCUUCAGCUGCUUUCUACCAGUCUUCCUCUCCUGUACCUCCAGCAGGACAGCUGCUAGCGAGAGUUAGCACCCUUGGGUGCUCAUUACAUCAACUUCAAGAUUAGGAAAGAGUGGUUUGUUUGGGAACAUUUACUGUGCUCUUAUUAAAGACAGACUGGUUUUGUGAUAUUUAGUACAUUUUUUUUUAUAGUUCAAUUGCACACACAUUUUUCCUGCUUUAUAUUUUUUAUAGGUUUUUUUUCUUUACAACAUAAUAUUUAAUUGAUAGCGUUCCCCAACACUCUGCAAUCUAUAAAGGUAUAAAUUUCUGAGCUCAGAUAUUUUCCCUGAUAAUAGUAGUCGGUACUCUUAUCUUGAUUAUUUUUAGGCUGUGUUCCACUUUUGUAUAAUUAUUUAAACUCAUUCCAUUAUUUUAGUAUAUGUUUAAUUAAAUUUUUAAAAAUUAACUUCACAUAUUAGUCAAAAUUGUAAUUAUUAACUUUAUUUAACUUGAACUUAUUAACUUUACUUAACUUUAACUUAUUAACUUUAUUUAACUUUAACUUUAAUUUAUUAAAUUCAUAUGAACUUCUGGAUUCUAAUCCCUCAGAUUAGUUUUUGGUUUCACUUGUUAUUAUUACUAUUAUAAACCACGAGUUAGGAAAAGGAUCUGUGUAUCCACUCGUAGGUUUAUUUAUUCAAUAAGGCUUGUGCCUGUCCCACUCACAGUGAGGUAUUUAUAUGUUAUAUAUAGUAUCAGGUAGUAUUUAAUUAAGGUGUACGUAUUAUAAACGUACAAUUAUUAUUUGGUGAGGGUUCUACUAACCUAGUUGUAAGUUGUACUUCCUGUAUUAGAGGUACCCGUAGUCAGUUUUUCUAACCUUAUAAAGAGUAUUCUUAGAUCAUAGUUGUAUGAUGAUUUUGUAAUUGACUUUCACUAGUAUCACUUUUUCCUGUCAUGUUAGAGUUACACACUAGUUACUUGUCCUAACUCAGAGAUUGUUAAAAAGAUCUAGUAGUUACAUUCAAUAAAUAUACAUUUAUUGUGA
This 2065-nucleotide long non-coding RNA is filed under the name Diabrotica virgifera virgifera (western corn rootworm). RNAcentral's name for it is "uncharacterized LOC126881329". Lineage: Eukaryota; Metazoa; Arthropoda; Insecta; Coleoptera; Chrysomelidae. The record is from RNAcentral.